GUAGCGUGUACUUUGCAAGUACCGUGAGAAUUGCAAGCGCGCAUGUGCAAUGAAAAUUGUCAUUUCCGCCGUGAGAGUUACAAGUUUUCAGAUCAUAAUACAAGUAUUUCACUGUUAAUGAUGAUAAUCAAAUGUGUCAACAUUCGAAAACACCACAGUGAAGAUCUUGGAAUCACAUAAUUAUAUUAAGUGUGUCGGGAAACCCGCGAAUACUACGCUAGCAUCUGUAAAACGUUGUCUGUGAGCGGCGUAUGUUACACCUCGUUUGCAUACAAGAUGUAAACAAAGAUUCAACGCAGAAAAAAAUAUAACGGUUGGGAAAGCAGGUGUACCAAAAUUAAAGUUCUUACCCAGAUGAUCUCAAGGACAGCUCUACAAAGUUUGCCAGAAAUAGAAGGGACAACUUUAAGCUAAAAGCCAGCAAGUUCUUUCUGAGAGUACUCUGCGUAAGAUGGUCAAUGAGCAUCAGACUAACUGGGAUGCCUUUUUGGAUGGAGCUUUGUUUGCCAUGAGAACCAAACCACAAUCCAGCACAAAGUACAGUCCAUUCUUUCUUCUGUAUGGCCGAGAAGCAAGGUACCCAAGUCAGCUCCCAAAAGACUUUGGAAACAACUUACAGGUUAGUUCCAGUACACUUUCCUGUUAU
Long non-coding RNA from Pecten maximus, 646 nucleotides. RefSeq lists it as uncharacterized. The transcript is spliced from 3 exons. The record is from RefSeq and is a predicted model, not a curated record. NCBI's taxonomy places the organism in Eukaryota, Metazoa, Mollusca, Bivalvia, Pectinida, Pectinidae.